UAAAGACUGGCAUUUUUUAAGCUGCUGUUGCCGUGCCGUUUGAAUGUCGGACUGUGCUUGCAUUUUGUUACAGUGAUGCGCAAUAACAACAGCAACAUGCAGUUUUCAACACAUCGACGUAGUUUAUACUGGCUUCUGGGAUUAUGUCUAUUGUUAUUCGAAACAGGAUCAACAGAUGCGCAAAGCAAACGAGCUCCACGCGUCACCAACUCUCGCAGUUUUGGCACCAAUGUGAAGUCAGCUAGCUCCAAUGGCGUCAACUUUGACUGUCCCGAAGAGUUCGGAUACUAUCCCCAUCCCUCGGACUGCACACAGUAUUAUGUGUGCGUAUUUGGUGGUGCGUUACUUGAGAGCUGCACUGGGGGACUGAUGUACUCGCACGAACUGCAGACUUGUGAUUGGCCCAGAAAUGUAGGCUGCGAAGUGGUGGACAGUGGCACGUCGGCAACCUCUACCGAAGUAGGUGGUGCCUCACGUAACAAGGCACAGCAACAUGUUCCCAGUCGCAUUCGCUUUGGGUCCGCCUUCACCAGUCCCACGGCCACACAAAAAACAGUCACAGUUCCACCGCAAUACCAUCGUUCACCUCCCCAGACUAUCCAGGCUCAGGUUCAGCAUCUGCCACCACCUCCAGAGCUCACUGUUGCUCCCAACCCAGUGGUCACGUCCCGAGGACAGCCUAAGUCGCUUCUGGAAUCGCAGGAGGAAAUUGCCAAGUAUACGAAGCUCUAUGCCGAGGCGCAUGAAACUCUGCCCGAAGAGGAGGACAGCGAGCGUCAGCAACGUGUUUAUCGUGGCCAACCGAGUACUGUUAGCCAAGUGCAGCGGGACCGCGAUGGCAUUCUACACCAAGCCAGCAUAAAUGCAAUACCAAAUCACGGAAAGAUCGGAUCCUACACGUUCGGGACGGCUUACAGCGAAAGCUUAAACGACGACGUGACAAUUGAACACGAACUGUCACAUAACCGACUCGAUGUAGACAGAGGACGCAGACGACGCGAUGUUAGUGGGUUAAUGUCAACUACGCCAGCGGAAGUGGCUGGCCCUACUGAAAUGCCUAACGAUUCGAACACCUCUAGCGAAGUCAUGGAGCCAGACAGCGCCAGCAGUGAGCAACUGGGCAGUGGCGAACAGACAAACAGCUCUAAUAGCUCCAAUAGUUCCAAUAACUCAAAUAACUCUCAAGAACAGUUCGACGAUGCAGCGCCUGCUGUCGUCCAGCUGCAAAAGUACUCAUCAAAAAUUAGUCAAACCGAAUUAGACUUUUUGCUGGCGGACUCAGACAACAGCGAACCAAUCGAAGAUAGCGAUGAUACUGCAACGGCCGAGUCCAAGCGACGUGCCCGUCAGCUGCGCCCUUUUCCACAUACGCCUGCUAAAUGGCCAACGCAUAACUAUCGUUCUAUAGACAGUCCAGUUCACCAGCCUUACAAUGGGGCUGGGAAAAACGGGUACAGUUUCGGCAGCUACAAUCCCUAUCUAACUCCUCCCAGCCAGCACACUCCCGCCAGCCAGAACUACAAUCAACUUAACACUGGAUAUAAGGCUUACCUCCAACAACAACAACAUCUGCAGCCUCAACACCCGCAACAACCAGAACGUGUUUCGACAUAUGGGAAAAAACCCACAGUGGUUUACACCGGCUAUAAUUUGUCUCUACCGCCGCCUCCAUUGGAAGACGACUUUCGACCGAUUGCAGGUAGUUACUAUGGUGCGGCCGGAUUAACAAGCUCAAGGCCACCAGGAGGUCAUCCGGAACAAACGAGCCAAGGCGACCUACUUCCUUAUCUUAUAGAGCAACUGAAACAGCUUAAGGAGCGCAGGAAACAGAUCCAAGCUGAAAACUUUGCCUACUUUCAUUUGGACAAUCAACCGAUAAGUCCCACCGCGCAUUCGACAACCCAACGGCCAUCAUUCGAGUACUAUUCUACAACAAGGCCGAGUCAACAAGUUACGCCCAGCAACCAUUACGCUCAAUACAGCACCAUGGGUGGCUUUUAUAAUAAUAAACCGGAAUUUACGCCGAGCAUAUCAAACUAUUCUGGCAAACUGGUAUCUCAGUUCAGCAUUGCUCAAAGUCCAGACACCCAAAGCACGACAGAGAGCAAUUACUUCCAAUAUAAUAUUGUCGCAAAUCAGAAAAUGAAGGGCGUUUACAAUAAUGCCAAGCUUAAUCAAAUAGAGCACGCCGCCUUCAAAGUUCGUCCACCAGUCACACCAGUGCACGUGACGCCAAACUUCAAUAUUGUUUCGGCUCCCAAUUUGGCUAACAAAAACUCGAACGGUCUGCAGGAAGUACCAUUCCGAGAUUUAUCGCAUUUGCCAGUGGGCAUCAGCUACGCUUCGAAUUCUACCCUGCCGGAAUCGUAUCAGACUUUUACCAAAUCGGUCAGCUCUACGGUGCCCCCCAAACCGGAGCCACCUAAGCCUUCAACAACUACCAAGCCACAGAAGACCAAUUUUCAAUUCAAUAUAAAUGAAUUUAUGGCAAACCUAAAAGCCAGUGAUCUAGCAAGUUUUAAUCCGGCUGUCAACCCACUAAUCAAAUAUUUUAAGCAGGUAAGCAAUGAUGGAAGUGGAAAUGUUCGGAAUGCCUUGGUUCUUCGCCGACCUGUCAUUAGCUCAACGCCAUCCAGUCCAGUAACGUCCAGACCUCCCUUGAAAUCAAGCCCGGUACCUACGAGGCUGCCAAUUAGCACAACCACCCAAGGAUCGACCACGCCUAUUCUAAGAGGCUACGAAUCUUUCGUGAAGAGUAUUCAAACCCAGAUAAGCAAACAAGCGUCUAAUUCAAAUCAGUCAACGACCACCAGUCCAACGCGUCCUAGGAUAACUUCGGGCAGAGUUUCCACUACCACUGAAAAAACAGUCGAAUACUAUGACGAGGACUACGAUGACGGAGUUGAUGAAGACAUACUCCCACCAUCUCGCAUGCCCCCCUACAUGCCCAUGUCGGAGACAAUGGCACCACCACGUCCACAAGUCACAACGGAGGGUUCACUUUCGACGACAGCCAGUAAAAUACGAAACAAUCCACAAACCGGAUUUAUGGAAGCUACAACAACGCGUCGACCCUUUCCUAAUUUCACGCAACUUAAUCAACCCAAUGCAGGCAACGGAGUUCCAGCGUUCAUCAGUUUCCCAAGUGACAUAUUUCAGGAAUUGAAGCAGCGGCUGCCACAGUUGCAGGCAACAGCCGCGCCCAGCACUCAUACCACUGCCCGAGUUCGCACAACUACAACUACCAGCACUACGACGCCUAUACCUCAGGCGAAAAUCCGGUACACUGUACGACCACAACGCACGCGUGGACAACAGAAAUGGCAGUCCCAAGUUCAGAGUAAUCCGGACGGAUUAGAGCGCACGCAAAAUGAACCCAGCCGAGGGGCCGCCUACACCAAGCCAACCAGCACUAGCAAUAAUGGCUUAAGUGGCCAGAACUUGAAUUCGGUACAUGCCACUUCAAACACGGAAAGACAAAGGGAUAUUGAGUAUCAACAGCAGCAGGAGCAGCACCAACAUCAGCAAAAGCCCCAGCAGUAUCAGCCUCCAGUGCGCCAGCAGCAGCAAUCAACUUAUAGGCCCUUGGAGAUAUUGACUACGCCGACACCGCCACAAAGGCAGAGCUACAACAGUCAGCCAACAUUGAGCUAUAACACGGACUAUGAAGAGGACCUUAAUGCACAGAUCGAGCAGGAUAAUGUAUAUGACCAGCCUACGCCUCCUCCACAACGGGCCGAAGAGGUGACCAUACAAACUCUGGAGGCAAGGGCCACUGUCUCGACAACCAAAAAUCCGGCCCAAAGACCUGAUGUGCGCAACUACUAUGACACGUUUACCACGCCCCACAUGAGCUAUGAAGAGCCUGAUUACAGCUAUUCCAGCUCUUCAGAGUACGUCCAAAAUUUACCCGCGGACUAUUAUCAGAGCGAGCGAGUUUCACCAUCGAAGACUAAACCGAGCACUCAAGCUCCCAAAUCAAUUAAAUCAGACGAUUAUUAUCUGAUUGCCAACGACGUCGGCCAGUCCACUUCGGCUUUUAAAACAGAUCGUAUACAGAAGUACACGACAGUGACACCCACACGCUUUCCGAUAUUAAAGUCAUCCACAGUCAUAAGCAGGAAUACAAACAAGAUUACCACAACUACCACACAACCAGUCACAAAGCCCCCUGCAACUACAACAAGAACAACAACAACAACACCAGCAACAACUACAACUACAACUACAUUGCAACCUUCAAGAAACAACAAUAGAAACCGCGGCAGUGCUAUAUACACAAAUCAGGAUCGCGAUGUUGCCACUCCAAACAGGGGAACACAUCCACCGCGCACACGUCCCACCCUUAAGCCAGCAGGAACAAUUGUAUCGAAGGCUCAAGAAUUUGUGGACAUUUAUAAAUAUCCGCCAAGCCGACCGGAUCCCAUUUACCCACAGCCGACGCCCGAUAAGACGGCAGCCAAGUGCCGCAAGGAUGUCUGUCUACUGCCCGAUUGCUACUGCGGUGGCAAGGAUAUACCCGGAGGCUUAAAUGUAUCGGUGACCCCGCAAAUUGUGUUGCUUACCUUCGAUGAUGCGAUUAACACGAUUAAUAUCGAUCUGUAUAAUGAGUUACUGAAUAACGAGACGCGAAAGAAUCCCAAUGGAUGUCCUUGGCGCGCGACUUUCUACAUCUCGCAUGAGUGGACGGACUAUGGCAUGGUCCAGGACAUGUACUCGGAUGGACAUGAAAUGGCUUCGCACACGGUGUCUCACAGCUUUGGCGAGCAGUUCUCACAAAAGAAAUGGACCCGGGAGAUAGCUGGCCAGCGGGAGAUACUCGCCGCUUAUGGCGGGGUGAAGCUGUCGGAUGUGCGCGGCAUGCGAGCCCCUUUCCUCUCAGUUGGCGGCAAUAAGAUGUAUAAGAUGCUGUACGAUUCGAACUUCACCUACGACUCGUCGAUGCCGGUCUAUGAGAACCGACCGCCCUCGUGGCCGUAUACCCUGGACUACAAGAUCUUCCACGAUUGUAUGAUUCCGCCGUGUCCGACGCGCAGCUAUCCAGGCGUUUGGCAAGUGCCCAUGGUCAUGUGGCAGGACUUGAAUGGCGGACGUUGCUCUAUGGGCGAUGCCUGCUCGAAUCCAAGUGAUGCGGAGGGAGUCACCAAAAUGAUAAUGAAGAACUUUGAGCGUCAUUACACCACCAAUAGAGCACCGUUUGGACUGUUCUAUCAUGCCGCUUGGUUCACACAGCCGCACCACAAGGAAGGCUUCAUUAAGUUCCUUGAUGCCAUAAAUGCCAUGCCGGAUGUUUGGAUCGUUACCAAUUGGCAAGCGCUGCAAUGGGUGCGCGAUCCGACGCCAACAUCUCGAAUCAAUUCCUUCCAGCCAUUCCAAUGCGACUACUCGGACCGACCCAAGCGUUGCAACAAUCCGAAGGUUUGCAAUCUAUGGCACAAAUCAGGCGUUCGCUACAUGAAGACUUGUCAGCCUUGCCCCGACAUAUAUCCAUGGACUGGAAAGUCUGGUAUACGCUCAUCGCGCAUCGACAAUGAAGUCGAGGAGCCUUCGGCGUAAGGCCGAGGUAUUCUUAUGAGUUCAAUGUAUCGAAAUAAUAUCAUAGUAAAUGCCACGCUUAUGAUAUAAGUAGAAGAUGCCAAUGCACAAAAAAAUUAUGGAUAUGCACUAGAGCUCAUUGUCGGACGACAUAGCUAAUUUGUUGAAGGGCGUCGAUAAAUGUAUUUAAUAUUUUUGGACAUGUUACUUAAAAUUAUUUAUUCCCUAACGAUAGACUUAUGUAUGUGUACUGUAUAUUCCUAUAGUUUGCUACUUGCGUGGAAAUUCGUAUAAGUACUUUCAAAAUGCAAUAUUAGAGUAAGAAAAAGUUACUAACGUAAUUAUAAAUAGAUUGUCCCCCAAAUUGCGGCAGUGGAACGCGCGUGGCGUAGCCCAUUUCUAAGCUGAUGAACAAUACUCUUCUUUGUGGCUUCUUCUAAUUUGUGAUAAAUUUAUUAUCGACUAUUAUGAUGUGUCCCUCUGUUAAUCUGAACCUUGGCACAAAAUUCGUAUCAAAUAUUGUCAACAUUUAUAUCUUAGCAUUAUAUUUACUCCGACCUUGUAUAUAACUACAUUAUAUCUGGAUUCCGGUGAAGGGGAUUUUAGCCUAAUACUCUUGGGUGUAUUUAUCAUUUUAUAUAUAUAUCCUUACUAUUAUUGUUCAACACCAUUCUUAUUCGUAAUACAAUGAAACUGAUGCUGUCAUGUGUCUGUCCAGGAACAUGGUAUGCAUAACCCGAUAUACGUAUAUAUAUGAAUAUGUAUCAGGAUUCAUUGCAUGAUUUACAUCAUUUUAGCACUAGUUCAAAUAAUUAAGAUUACCAUGGAGUUACAUAAAUCAGUUUUGAAGCGAAACGGCAGAACAGAAAUCAGACAAUGAUAGCAAGUAGACUAGAGCUCGUUCGUCCAGGCAAAGGAAUGAACUAAAUAAUAUAAAGUGAACUCUUUAUUACUCAUGUGAAAGUAUUAUGAUGGAUUUGUAAUGCUACAAACUCAUGAGGAGAAUAAUUAAGUUAAAUUACUGAGUUAAGUUUAUUGUAUGUAUGUGUUUCCAUUCCCAUGCAUAUGUAUAUUCAAUUCGCAAUCAGCUGAAUACAGCUCAAAAAUUUGUAUUUUACCGAGUGAAUUAUGUAUUUUGUGCUAAUAAUUGUACAACGUGUAAAAUAAAGCAA
This 6707-nucleotide unclassified non-coding RNA is filed under the name Drosophila mojavensis. RNAcentral's name for it is "GI16440". The record is from RNAcentral. Lineage: Eukaryota; Metazoa; Arthropoda; Insecta; Diptera; Drosophilidae.